RNAcentral lists this small RNA (659 nucleotides) under Pan troglodytes (chimpanzee). RNAcentral describes it as "processed transcript". Lineage: Eukaryota; Metazoa; Chordata; Mammalia; Primates; Hominidae. The record is from RNAcentral.
AAUAGCGGUAUUUUGUAACUUUUUCCUAAGACUGGCAGGGCAAGAAUCCUUUCGUUCCAUCACAAGGUCGUAUUACAGAGGUGCAGCAGGAGCUUUACUAGUUUACGAUAUUACACGGAGAGAUACAUUCAACCACUUGACAACCUGGUUAGAAGAUGCCCGCCAGCAUUCCAAUUCCAACAUGGUCAUUAUGCUUAUUGGAAAUAAAAGUGAUUUAGAAUCUAGAAGAGAAGUAAAAAAAGAAGAAGGUGAAGCUUUUGCACGAGAACAUGGACUCAUCUUCAUGGAAACGUCUGCUAAGACUGCUUCCAAUGUAGAAGAGGCAUUUAUUAAUACAGCAAAAGAAAUUUAUGAAAAAAUUCAAGAAGGAGUCUUUGACAUUAAUAAUGAGGCAAAUGGCAUUAAAAUUGGCCCUCAGCAUGCUGCUACCAAUGCAACACAUGCAGGCAAUCAGGGAGGACAGCAGGCUGGGGGCGGCUGCUGUUGAGUCUGUUUUUACUGUCUAGCUGCCCAACGGGGCCUACUCACUUAUUCUUUCACCCCCUCUCCUCCUGCUCAGCUGAGACAUGAAACUAUUUGAAAUGGCUUUAUGUCACAGAAGACUUUAAUCCUUCAAAUUCUUGUAUAACUUUGAAUAAAUGGUUAAUGUUCACUUAAAA